GACGAACGCUGGCGGCGUGCUUAACACAUGCAAGUCGAACGGAAAGGCCCUGCUCUUGUGGGUUGCUCGAGUGCCGAACGGGUGAGUAACACGUGAGUAUCCUGCCCUUGACUUUGGGAUAACUUCUGGAGACUCGGGAUAAUACAGGAUAUGAGCUCCUGCUGCGUGGUGGGGGUAGGAAAGUUUCGGCGGUUGGGGAUGGAUUCGCGGGUUAUCAGCUUGUUGGUGGGGUAGGUGCUUACCAAGGCUUUGACGGGUAGCCGGCCUGAGAGGGGGACCGGCGUCAAUGGGACUGCGAUACGGCCCAGAAUGGUACGGUAGGCAGCAGUGGGGAAUCUUGCACAAUGGGGGGAAGCGUGAUGUAACAACGUCGCGUGCGUGAUGACGGCCUUCGGGUUGUAAACCGAUUUCGCCUGUGACGAAGCGUGAGUGACGGUAAUGGGUAAAGAAGCAACGGCUAACUACGUG
This 468-nucleotide ribosomal RNA is filed under the name uncultured bacterium. RNAcentral describes it as "partial 16S ribosomal RNA". It matches the Rfam family "Bacterial small subunit ribosomal RNA", at positions 28 to 507 of the family's 1533-position model. The record is from RNAcentral.